GAUGUGAUGAAACCAAUGGUUGUUGAACUGUGGAUAGAACUUAAUCUAAAAUAGUCUGGUUUGUUUUUACCCUUUCGUUAUCUUACCGUUUCGUUAUCUUAAAAGCUGAGAUUGGGUAGUGGGAGUCGAACUCAAUGGUCUUAGUAUGACAUCACAAAUGGAAGCAACCACUUUGCUAAACCCAGGUGGUUACAGAGUUUCCUGAAGCAACAAUAGCUAUGGCAUGGUGCCGGCUCUAAUCACUGCCAGCCAACAAAACACGGCAGGAGAAGCUAACCAGAGAUGUGAUAGGGAGGCCUCAAGGUUACAGAAGAGUAGUGGGCCCGGCCAACUCCGGUGGUGGUGGGCACCAGCUGCUGCGAAGAGGCAUGUUCCAGGUCAUACUCGUGUGUGGGGGAAAAGCAGAAAGAAUGAUCUGAAAGAAUGUCAAAGCCAGAGGAUGGAGAGGAAUACCAGGGAAAUGUUGUCUUCUGAACACGACCUAGCUGCUACACCCAUGUACUUAUUGCAGCUAUAAUUAUCUGCAGAAGAUCUGCACAAGAUGAAGGUCCUGAACUCUCCAUCCUGGACAGGAGAAGAAUGUACAAGGCCCUUGCUUCUAGUGGAGGAGCUAUUGGUUUCUUGGGGAGAAUCACACUCUUCACUGUUGUAGCCACUGAAAACCUCAACCAAUCGAAAUGCAAAGUUAUGGAGUCCAGUUCGAGCAGAUACAUCUACAAAAUAAUCCAAAGAUGGGAGGAGAAAGACUGAGGACCCAAAUCAUCAUGUCCAAAUUAAUUAAAGCAAUCAAUUAAUUAAAGCAAUCUUUUUUUUAUUCAUGUAUACAGGCUGCCUUUCCCUAAUUCAGGGUCCAAAAGGUCAGCUUUGGACAUAAAGGGAAUAAGAGUGAAAGUAUGAAAGG
Long non-coding RNA from Mastomys coucha (southern multimammate mouse), 901 nucleotides. RefSeq lists it as uncharacterized. Lineage: Eukaryota; Metazoa; Chordata; Mammalia; Rodentia; Muridae. The record is from RefSeq and is a predicted model, not a curated record. The transcript is spliced from 3 exons.